GGCUCCGUAGCUCAGGGGUUAGAGCACUGGUCUCGUAAACCAGGGGUCGUGAGUUGAAUCUCACUGGGGCCU
RNAcentral lists this transfer RNA (72 nucleotides) under Sus scrofa (pig). Its description in RNAcentral is "tRNA-Thr (CGT) (tRNA-Thr-CGT-6-1)". It matches the Rfam family "tRNA". Rfam says of the family: Transfer RNA (tRNA) molecules are approximately 80 nucleotides in length. Their secondary structure includes four short double-helical elements and three loops (D, anti-codon, and T loops). The record is from Rfam by way of RNAcentral. Lineage: Eukaryota; Metazoa; Chordata; Mammalia; Artiodactyla; Suidae.